GAUGAAGAACGUUGCGAAAUGCGAUACGUAAUGUGAAUUGCAAAUUCAGUGAAUCAUCGAGUCUUUGAACGCACAUUGCGCCCCCUGGUAUUCCGGGGGGCAUGCCUGUCCGAGCGUCAUUGCUGCCCUCAAGCACGGCUUGUGUGUUGGGCCCCGUCCUCCGAUCCCGGGGGACGGGCCCGAAAGGCAGCGGCGGCACCGCGUCCGGUCCUCGAGCGUAUGGGGCUUUGUCACCCGCUCUGUAGGCCCGGCCGGCGCUUGCCGAUCAACCCAAAUUUUUUAUCCAGGUUGACCUCGGAUCAGGUAGGGAUACCCGCUGAACUUAAGCAUAUCAAUAAGCGGAGGA
RNAcentral lists this unclassified non-coding RNA (346 nucleotides) under soil metagenome. RNAcentral's name for it is "partial contains 5.8S ribosomal RNA, internal transcribed spacer 2, and large subunit ribosomal RNA". The stretch from base 1 to 119 matches the Rfam family "5.8S ribosomal RNA", at positions 35 to 154 of the family's 154-position model. The record is from RNAcentral.